AUUGAACGCUGGCGGCAGGCCUAACACAUGCAAGUCGAACGGCAGCACAGAAGAGCUUGCUCUUUGGGUGGCGAGUGGCGGACGGGUGAGUAAUGUCUGGGAAACUGCCCGAUGGAGGGGGAUAACUACUGGAAACGGUAGCUAAUACCGCAUAACGUCGCGAGACCAAAGUGGGGGACCUUCGGGCCUCACACCAUCGGAUGUGCCCAGAUGGGAUUAGCUAGUAGGUGGGGUAAUGGCUCACCUAGGCGACGAUCCCUAGCUGGUCUGAGAGGAUGACCAGCCACACUGGAACUGAGACACGGUCCAGACUCCUACGGGAGGCAGCAGUGGGGAAUAUUGCACAAUGGGCGCAAGCCUGAUGCAGCCAUGCCGCGUGUAUGAAGAAGGCCUUCGGGUUGUAAAGUACUUUCAGCGGGGAGGAAGGCGGUGAGGUUAAUAACCUUGCCGAUUGACGUUACCCGCAGAAGAAGCACCGGCUAACUCCGUGCCAGCAGCCGCGGUAA
RNAcentral lists this ribosomal RNA (506 nucleotides) under uncultured bacterium. Its description in RNAcentral is "partial 16S ribosomal RNA". It matches the Rfam family "Bacterial small subunit ribosomal RNA", at positions 30 to 523 of the family's 1533-position model. The record is from RNAcentral.